GACGAACGCUGGCGGCGUGCUUAACACAUGCAAGUCGAACGGAAAGGCCCUGCUUUUGUGGGGUGCUCGAGUGGCGAACGGGUGAGGAACACGUGAGUAACCUGCCCUUGACUUUGGGAUAACUUCAGGAAACUGGGGCUAAUACCGGAUAGGAGCUCCUGCUGCAUGGUGGGGGUUGGAAAGUUUCGGCGGUUGGGGAUGGACUCGCGGCUUAUCAGCUUGUUGGUGGGGUAGUGGCUUACCAAGGCUUUGACGGGUAGCCGGCCUGAGAGGGUGACCGGCCACAUUGGGACUGAGAUACGGCCCAGACUCCUACGGGAGGCAGCAGUGGGGAAUAUUGCACAAGGGGCGGAAGCCUGAUGCAGCAACGCCGCGUGCGGGAUGACGGCCUUCGGGUUGUAAACCGCUUUCGCCUGUGACGAAGCGUGAGUGACGGUAAUGGGUAAAGAAGCACCGGCGAACUACGU
RNAcentral lists this ribosomal RNA (467 nucleotides) under uncultured bacterium. RNAcentral's name for it is "partial 16S ribosomal RNA". It matches the Rfam family "Bacterial small subunit ribosomal RNA", at positions 28 to 506 of the family's 1533-position model. The record is from RNAcentral.